GAGUUUGAUCCUGGCUCAGGAUGAACGCUGGCGGCGUGCCUAAUACAUGCAAGUCGAGCGAACGGACGAGAAGCUUGCUUCUCUGAUGUUAGCGGCGGACGGGUGAGUAACACGUGGAUAACCUACCUAUAAGACUGGGAUAACUUCGGGAAACCGGAGCUAAUACCGGAUAAUAUUUUGAACCGCAUGGUUCAAAAGUGAAAGACGGUCUUGCUGUCACUUAUAGAUGGAUCCGCGCUGCAUUAGCUAGUUGGUAAGGUAACGGCUUACCAAGGCAACGAUGCAUAGCCGACCUGAGAGGGUAAUCGGCCACACUGGAACUGAGACACGGUCCAGACUCCUACGGGAGGCAGCAGUAGGGAAUCUUCCGCAAUGGGCGAAAGCCUGACGGAGCAACGCCGCGUGAGUGAUGAAGGUCUUCGGAUCGUAAAACUCUGUUAUUAGGGAAGAACAUAUGUGUAAGUAACUGUGCACAUCUUGACGGUACCUAAUCAGAAAGCCACGGCUAACUACGUG
This 516-nucleotide ribosomal RNA is filed under the name uncultured microorganism. RNAcentral describes it as "bacterial SSU rRNA". It matches the Rfam family "Bacterial small subunit ribosomal RNA", at positions 9 to 507 of the family's 1533-position model. The record is from RNAcentral.